Molecule: ribosomal RNA, 570 nt
Filed under: uncultured fungus
Lineage: Eukaryota; Fungi
Description: eukaryotic LSU rRNA
Rfam family: 5.8S ribosomal RNA (bases 208-361)
Source: RNAcentral
CGUAACAAGGUCUCCGUAGGUGAACCUGCGGAGGGAUCAUUACACAAAUAUGAAGGCGGGCUGGAACCUCUCGGGGUUACAGCCUUGCUGAAUUAUUCACCCUUGUCUUUUGCGUACUUCUUGUUUCCUUGGUGGGUUCGCCCACCACUAGGACAAACAUAAACCUUUUGUAAUUGCAAUCAGCGUCAGUAACAAAUUAAUAAUUACAACUUUCAACAACGGAUCUCUUGGUUCUGGCAUCGAUGAAGAACGCAGCGAAAUGCGAUAAGUAGUGUGAAUUGCAGAAUUCAGUGAAUCAUCGAAUCUUUGAACGCACAUUGCGCCCUUUGGUAUUCCAAAGGGCAUGCCUGUUCGAGCGUCACUUGUACCCUCAAGCUUUGCUUGGUGUUGGGCGUCUUGUCUCUAGCUUUGCUGGAGACUCGCCUUAAAGUAAUUGGCAGCCGGCCUACUGGUUUCGGAGCGCAGCACAAGUCGCACUCUCUAUCAGCAAAGGUCUAGCAUCCAUUAAGCCUUUUUUUCAACUUUUGACCUCGGAUCAGGUAGGGAUACCCGCUGAACUUAAGCAUAUCA